AAAUUGGCUUGUUUUGUUGAUUGAAUAACUGAGCAUUAAUUAAUAAAUAAUAACGAUAAUAUUGGAGUCAAAUCAAGCAAGGCUAUAUGGAGAACCGUAUUGUAUCGUGAAUUAUGUAUCAAGAAUCGUAUCGAAUCGGCUCAUCCUAGAUGAUACCCAGCCCUAUAAUCUGGUGUGCCUUAUGGUCCGAAAAAUACAGUACUAUGUUUAGAUUUUGCGUAAAAAAAGUAACUAAUGCUUUUAUGGAAUUGACACGCAAGUUCAGACAGUAAUUUUAGUGCCAUUUACUCUGUUGUUUUGAAAAAAAAAUCCGAGACGCCAUGUACAUUAAUGAGACCCACACCAUCACAGAUCCUUCACCAUACCUAAGAAUAGGAGUGAGGUGCUUUGUUUCAUAGGAAUAGGAGUGAUUUGUUUCAUACUAAUUAAAGUCUCAGUAAGGUUUAAUCAACUUAACAUAUUAACUUUUGAGAUUGUAGGGCAGAAAAUGCCUUUUCUUUGGCUACAUUUGUUUUAUAGGACAUUUUAGUGUGAGGGUGGGAGUUGUGUGGCAAGUGAACGUCACUUUGUUUAAAGGCCAGAUUGCAGGAAAUGUCAUUUUCAGUCAUACCAUCACAAUGUGCAGUCUGCUAAACUGUUCUGGGACUUUAACUGGAACUGUGCACAUACAACUUUGGUCAUAUUGGACCACAAUAGCACUUUUCAGGAAAACAAAUGUGCAAAACAAAAAUGGUGAAUAUGUGGAAAACCGUCUCUUUGUCCAUUGUUAGAUACGGUGAAGAAUCCAUAAUGAUGUGGGCCUGUUUAACCACCAUGAAAAAAUUACUUGGUUUUAAGACUGUAUUUCCUAUCCUAUUGUGUAACCAUUGUGUGCUUCCUCCCAUCCAUCCCUCUUUUUCUCCUGCCUUUCUUCCUGGUGUAUUCUUCAUCUCACCCUCUGUAUUUUGUCCUCCUGCCCACCCUCAGGUGUUUUUUUAUUUCUUUCUACAUUCCUCUCUAUAUGUCCAUUCCUUGCUUCCCUCCUUCCUUGUGACCCUCCCACUUUUCUCUCCAUCAUUCCUUCCUUGUGAUGUUAUUCUUAUCUCACUAUAAGUCAUUCCUUUUUACCUUCAUACUUUUCUUUCUUUCCUUCCUUCCUUCCUUCCUUCCUUCCUUCCUUCCUUCCUUCCUUCCUUCCUUCCUUCCUUCCUUCCUUCCGUGUGACUGUCCUACUUUUCUGUCUAUCAUUCCCUUCCUUGCUUCCAGUUGGUGUAUUAUUCCAGGUUUGAUAUUUAUUGUUUCUUAUCAGAAAUAUCAGCCAUAAAUUAAUUAUGAACUUGUUAGUGUUAUACAUUUUAAAAUGGACUCAAAAGAGUAAGAACUCUUUGAAGUUGAGUCUGGAAAAGUGUGGAAAUUUUAGACGAAAGAAAUUUGUAAAAAAAAAAUAUUCCUCAUAUUAACCUAUAACUGUAGAGGGGUCUAUCUCUUAAAAAUAACAAUAAUCAUUUAUUCUUUUUAUUAUAAGACAUUAGCACAUGUAUUGUGUAUGUAUUUAAAACACAGUGGAGUAGGAGUAAAAAUGUAUUAAUAUUUAAGUGUUUGUCAGUGAUUCAGUCUUAAAAAUGUAUAUUUUAAGCCAUCUGGAGCCAGCAGAUUAUGUGAAAUGCAGAGCAGCAAAACUUUCACAGUUGGCCCAUUUUUAGAGAAAAGCAAUAUCUACUCAGCUCAUUGCCCCUUUAAAUAUAUCUAUUUAGAUUUUAUUAUGCAUUAAUUGUGUUGUAAUAGAAAAAGAAAAUAGCAGAAUCACAAGCUUGGAAACAUUGAGGACGUGUAGAUUAUCUCUAAUUUGCUCGUUUCUUACGCUGCUAAUUUGUUUCAGCAUGUUGUGUUCGCUGCCAAACAACGUAGCAUCUCUGAAGCAAAACAUACAAGGUUAUCAUUUUUAAGAUGGUCGUCCUGAUGUUUUUGUCUGUGUUGUCUUCAUUCAGCAGAAAGAUUCCAGCUGUGAUAAAGCCAUGCAGUAGAAGCCUCGUUGCUCAUUUCAUGCCUUAAGGGGGAAAUGUUUGGUUAUCCAUACAUCUGUUCAGUUGAAUUGAAACCUCCAGAGAGGUAAAUGUUUAACUGACACAGAUUGCAUUAGAGGUGUUAUAUGCCAUAAUUCACGCCAAUGCACUGUGAGUGUAAGUCAGUAGCUGCUUUCUGUGCUUUCUGUUCACCAGUAAUGUAACUCCUUGACUGGAAACCUGGAAUAAUGGCUGCAUAAGACACAAUACAUUUUCUAUUUACAGAGCUGACAAAGGCUGCAUCCGAAACGUUCUAAUUAAAGCUUCUUGCUCCCGUUUCUUGACCUUUCAUGAGGUCAACAGUAAGAACGCUAUUGUGAGGAAGAAAGGAGCUUCGGACUGCUGCUUUUAACAUCCAUGUCAUUACCGACAUGGAUGAUGCUCGUCAAAUACAGCCUUCGGAAAAAGAACUACAAAAAACACAAGUUAGAUAAAUGAAUAUGCAAAAUAAACGAUGUGGGAAACCUCAUCAAAUAAUGAGAGAUUAAUUUUCAAGGUUAAAAUAUGUAUCGAUACAUUCAAUUUCAAAGCUUUAAACAUGGUUUAAUACUUUGCCGUUAUGCUAGUACACUAUGGGAUCUUUUCUCUCUGGACAGUUUGGUUAAUCUCUGUGAGCUGGGCUGUGCUUAAACGUCAUAUCACGCAAAGGAUUGUGGGAUUUCUUAUAGCUCCCUAGCACCAGUAAGAGACGUUGCAGGGUUCCUAGGCAAAACUAGCCGCGGGAGGGAGCAUACAGGCUACUUUUCCUAACCCCUUUCCUUACCAGCUUGCACUAGUCGGACAGCAGUUGUCAUGGCAACUGCUGAUGCACUUCGCUUUGGCUAAAGCUUUACCACUUAGACCUUUUUGGAUGCAGCCAUACUCUACUUGGUUCAUUUGACACCUAUGUCAAAUGUUGCUGUUAUGACACUUUUUGCCAUUAGGAGGCAGUCUGAUUCAUACAUGCCGGACAAAGAAAGCAACUCAAGUCUGUUGAACUGUUGUUGCCCUUUAAAUGUCUUACAAUCUGUCUUGUUUGGUCAAACAUUGAACAUUUCUCAAAUAUCUAAAUAAAGAAAUAUUGUUUACA
Fundulus heteroclitus (mummichog) is the source of this 3111-nucleotide long non-coding RNA. RefSeq lists it as uncharacterized. The record is from RefSeq and is a predicted model, not a curated record. The transcript is spliced from 2 exons. NCBI's taxonomy places the organism in Eukaryota, Metazoa, Chordata, Actinopteri, Cyprinodontiformes, Fundulidae.